ACGCAAUAGAUACCCGGGUAGUCCACGCCGUAAACGAUGAGUGCUAAGUGUUAGAGGGUUUCCGCCCUUUAGUGCUGCAGCUAAACGCAUUAAGCACUCCGCCUGGGGAGUACGGUCGCAAGACUGAAACUCAAAGGAAUUGACGGGGGCCCGCACAAGCGGUGGAGCAUGUGGUUUAAUUCGAAGCAACGCGAAGAACCUUACCAGGUCUUGACAUCCUCUGACAACUCUAGAGAUAGAGCGUUCCCCUUCGGGGGACAGAGUGACAGGUGGUGCAUGGUUGUCGUCAGCUCGUGUCGUGAGAUGUUGGGUUAAGUCCCGCAACGAGCGCAACCCUUGAUCUUAGUUGCCAGCAUUUAGUUGGGCACUCUAAGGUGACUGCCGGUGACAAACCGGAGGAAGGUGGGGAUGACGUCAAAUCAUCAUGCCCCUUAUGACCUGGGCUACACACGUGCUACAAUGGAUGGUACAAAGGGCUGCAAGACCGCGAGGUCAAGCCAAUCCCAUAAAACCAUUCUCAGUUCGGAUUGUA
This 532-nucleotide ribosomal RNA is filed under the name uncultured bacterium. RNAcentral describes it as "bacterial SSU rRNA". It matches the Rfam family "Bacterial small subunit ribosomal RNA", at positions 773 to 1302 of the family's 1533-position model. The record is from RNAcentral.